This 437-nucleotide ribosomal RNA is filed under the name uncultured Ethanoligenens sp. RNAcentral describes it as "partial 16S ribosomal RNA". It matches the Rfam family "Bacterial small subunit ribosomal RNA", at positions 341 to 792 of the family's 1533-position model. The record is from RNAcentral. Lineage: Bacteria; Bacillati; Bacillota; Clostridia; Eubacteriales; Oscillospiraceae.
ACGGGAGGCAGCAGUGGGGGAUAUUGCACAAUGGGGGAAACCCUGAUGCAGCAACGCCGCGUGAGGGAAGAAGGUUUUCGGAUUGUAAACCUCUGUUUUUAGUGAAGAAACAAAUGACGGUAGCUAAAGAGGAAGCCACGGCUAACUACGUGCCAGCAGCCGCGGUAAUACGUAGGUGGCAAGCGUUGUCCGGAUUUACUGGGUGUAAAGGGUGCGCAGGCGGGACUGCAAGUUGGAUGUGAAAUACUGAGGCUUAACCUUGGGGCUGCAUCCAAAACUGUGGUUCUUGAGUGGAGUAGAGGUAAGCGGAAUUCCGAGUGUAGCGGUGAAAUGCGUAGAUAUUCGGAGGAACACCAGUGGCGAAGGCGGCUUACUGGGCUCUAACUGACGCUGAGGCACGAAAACAUGGGUAGCAAACAGGAUUAGAUACCCUGGUA